RNAcentral lists this ribosomal RNA (496 nucleotides) under uncultured bacterium. RNAcentral describes it as "bacterial SSU rRNA". It matches the Rfam family "Bacterial small subunit ribosomal RNA", at positions 903 to 1397 of the family's 1533-position model. The record is from RNAcentral.
AAAGGAAUAGACGGGGGCCCGCACAAGCAGUGGAGUAUGUGGUUUAAUUCGAAGCAACGCGAAGAACCUUACCAGGGCUUGACAUCUCAGGAAUCCUGUAGAGAUACGGGAGUGCCCUUCGGGGAACCUGAAGACAGGUGGUGCAUGGUUGUCGUCAGCUCGUGUCGUGAGAUGUUGGGUUAAGUCCCGCAACGAGCGCAACCCCUAUUGUUAGUUGCCAUCAUUAAGUUGGGCACUCUAACGAGACUGCCGGUGAUAAAUCGGAGGAAGGUGGGGACGACGUCAAAUCAUCAUGCCCCUUAUGUCCUGGGCUACACACGUACUACAAUGGCUGUUAACAAAGGGAAGCAACGCCGCGAGGCCAAGCAAAUCCCAGAAAAGCAGUCUCAGUUCGGAUUGCAGGCUGAAACUCGCCUGCAUGAAGUCGGAAUUGCUAGUAAUCGCGAAUCAGAAUGUCGCGGUGAAUACGUUCCCGGGCCUUGUACACACCGCCCGU